Molecule: long non-coding RNA, 1526 nt
Organism: Gossypium arboreum
Lineage: Eukaryota; Viridiplantae; Streptophyta; Magnoliopsida; Malvales; Malvaceae
Exons: 3
Source: RefSeq, a predicted model, not a curated record
UGAACGUAUUCUCUGAGUUGCUUCCAGAAGGUCUCUAGAGACAAAGUUCCUUCCAAUGCCAGCUGGUACAAUCUCAUCUUCAACUGGAGGUACUGAAUUCAGUGUGAAUGCCUAAGGUAUGUAUGAAGGGAAUAUUAGAUUUCUUUUGAUAUAAUACUCCUUUAGAAGGCAUCUACAUAUGGUGAGGUUCAUAUUUUGGCCUUCUGUUUUAGCACUCUUUUUAGUAUAAGAUGGUCCUGUACAGAUUUCAGAUGUAUGAAAGAAAUUUUACCAGUCCUUGACUGUUAAGUCCAAAAGCACAACUUGGAAGCUCUCCUGCAUAUGUGUAAGCUAUGAAGGAUAAUCCAUUUGAUAGUUUUCCCUUGAUCAAAUAGCUGCAAACCCAUCAUAGACACGUAUGCAUGUUACGGGAUAUUGAUUUAUCGUACAUAUUGCACUCUUUCCUAGAAUCUGAACAGAAUUCAUGAAACAAAAAGCAUACGUGUGGCCUACUAGAGAAACGUUUGCAUCCUCAUUAUGAGCUGCUACUGCCAUUGAAUCACUAACAAUGAGAACAUCAGAACAGUCAUCUGUAGUAUCAGCAUUUGAAUUCAUUGUUGUUUUUGAAAUGAAUGGGAGUAUCUCCUUUCUGAAGUUGACUAGUAUUAUCUGCACAUGAAGGAGUAGAAUGUGAUUUUAUUCAAUAGAACAGUAUAUUGAUGAAAUUAACAGUUUGUGAUCACUACAUCAAGAACCAGCACACCGCUUCCGUCUGCAGUCCCUAAAAGCUCAGCCCAAUAUCUUGGGAACUUCUUCUGGUUUGUUUCCGAGAGUGCUUUGAGCAGCGGUUGUGCAUGCGGUGUUCGAGCAAAAGGAAGGAGCUGUUUUUGAAGAAUGAGGUCCCCAGCCAACCUGCUUCUUAUUUGAUUGCAAAACCUUUGACCUAUGAGAAAACCCAGCUGGUAGUCAUCUUCACAGGGCCCAACUUCAAACAUCUCCAGCAGUUUACCUUCCAUGCUUGAGUUCCCAAACCUUGUGUGGCUCAAGUCUUUCGCAAUAAAGGUGCUAGUUGGAUUUGAAUAAUAUCCAGUGCGUAAUCAGGUUAUUUUAUGGUUUUUGAUUGAAUGGAACUUGGAAUGAGUGAAUAAACAGAAGAGGAGAAUGGCAUGGCAUGCUGUGAAUUGACAAAUGAGGUGGUGUGGGCCUUAGGGGGCGGGUUCUGCAGGCGAGGCAGGCAUAUUAUUCCCCAUGAAAAUCGUAAUUUGAAAAUAUCAAGUUUAUGGGCCAUUGCACCAGUUAUAAUGUACACCUAGUACAUGAAAUUAAAGGGUUCAAAAUGUAUUUCAGUCCUCUUUUGAAUUCUUUUCUCCAUCAUUUCUUGUUUGAAGGUCUCCUUAUGUGCACCGAGGUUCCUUUUCCUUGUUUGAAUGUUGUCAUGUCUUAACCCCCAUAUUCAAUAUAUCAAUCAUUUUGUUAUACAUAGAGAUUGACCUCUAAAUUCACGAAUCGAUUGCACACAAGGAAAACUAUUAAUUUUCCCCUAGAAA